This 3650-nucleotide long non-coding RNA is filed under the name Sus scrofa (pig). Its description in RNAcentral is "lncRNA (ENSSSCG00000062806.1)". Lineage: Eukaryota; Metazoa; Chordata; Mammalia; Artiodactyla; Suidae. The record is from RNAcentral.
GCCUCCGCCGAGCACUCCAGCUGAGGAGUGACUUCGGCCUCUUUGUUACAUGUAUUUAUGUGCUUCUUGUGUUGCCAGCCCUAGAGUGGAGCUCCCUGUUGGGAGGGGUCGUAUCUGUCCAUUCAUCCCGGCUGCACGCCCAGGUCUGGCAAACUACCUGUCACAGAGCAGGUGCCCAUGUAACGAAGGAACAUCCUAGAAGAAUUUCGGCAGAAGAUAAACUGUAGAGAGAUCUCUCUUACUCCAGAAAAGCUCUUUCCUGAUUAAAGUGAGAAAUACUCACUUCCAAACUACCAUUAUCUCUAGACACAAAACUGGAUAGAAUUAAAAACGUGGUCCCGUUGUGGCUCAGUGGUAACAAACCCAACUAGUAUCCAUGAGGAUGCGGGUUCAAUCCCUGGCCUUGCUCAGUGGGUUAAGGAUCUGGUGUUGCCAUGACUGUGGUGUAGGUUGCAGACACCACUAGAAUCCCACAUUGCUGUGGCUGUGGCGUAGGCCAGCAGUUGUAGCUCUGAAUCGACCCCUAGCCUGGGAAUUUCCAUAUGCCACGGGUGUGGCCCUAAAAAGACUAUAUAUAUGUAUACAUUUUAACAGGUGUAGGAACAGACAUGUGAUUGAGCUGUUGUUCCAAAGGAUUACACUUCUUGCCCAAUUCUGAUAAGGACAGAAAGCACCAGGGUCGGGUCAAGUAUUAUUUCAGAGGCGGCUUAUUAGAAUCCCAGACUCUGUUUUUCCAUAGCUUCGAUGUCAUGCCUGGUGGUUCAAUUCCACACCAACUCUCAAAGUCUGUUUAAUUAAGAAGAUAUUGAUAAUCUUAUUAGUUACAGGGAAAGGCAGAUCUUAGGGGCAAGAGAGAACUUUCGGCUGUCUCCUUUCUCAGGUGGAAAGCAGAGACCACGGGCAUUUUUAAAAGCAGAUCAAAAGUUUAUCUCGUCUCGGUCAGUCUCUUCCACCUGCCUCUGGGCAGCCUUUCUUCUUCCCAAUCAGUCCCUUCCAGGCACGCAUGAAUGUGUGAGUUCAUCUAGCAAAUGGGAUCCUAAGGAGUUUACAGUUUAAUGGAAUAAAGUAAACAUAUAUAUAGUUGUGGUUAGCAGCAUCCCUAAAGGAAACAGGGAAAGUGCAGCAAUGGCUAAGAAACACUAUACUGUCAGGUGGUUUAAAGCAUAGAAUUAGAUUCAGAUUGUGUUGUUUAUGUGUGUGGCACAGAUGUGGUUAAUAUUUUAGCAUAAACGUUACAUGCUAUGUGUAUAAUUCCGCCCCAGUGUUUCCACUCAGCAAUAUGUUAAUUUGCGGUCUUAGAUAUCUUCCUCGUUCUUUCUUUAAAAUUUUAUUGAAGUAUAGUUGAUUUACAAUGUUGUGUUAAUUUCUGCUCUAUAGCAAAAUGACUGCUAUAUAUAUGUUCUUUUUCACACUCCUUUCCAUUAUGGUUUAUCAUGGGGUAUUGAAUAUAGCUCCCUGUGCUAUACCAUAGGACCUCAUUGUUUAUACUUUCUAGUCUUUUUAACUGCUCUAUAAUAUUCCACGAUAACUUGAUGAACACCCUUGUAUUCUUUAAAUACUUCAAGCAUCUGUUGCAAUGACCCCAUGUCUGUGGGAAACGAGGCAAUUAGAGCCAAGGACACAGUUCUCAUUGAGAGCCUGUUUGCAGGCUGGCUUUAAGUUAGAAACUGGGAGUUCCCGUUGUGGCUCAGCAGUGAUGAACCCAAUUAGUAUCCAUGAGGAUGUGAGUCAAUCCCUGGCCUCACUCAGUGGGUUAAGGUUUCUGGCAUUGCCGUGAGCUGUGGUGUACGUUGCAGACAUGGCUUGGAUUUGGCAGUUGCUGUAGCUGUGAUGUAGGCUGGCAGCUGCAGCUCCAAUUUGACCCUUAGCCUAGGAACUUCCAUAUGCCAUGGGUGUGGCCCUAAAAAGACAAAAAUAAUUUUAAAAUUAAAAAAAAAUAGAUAGGAACUGUAUGCCCUUGAUGAUGGACUUGAAAUAUUAAAAAGCAAUUAAUAGCUAAAAUGAGAACAUGUAGCAGGGUACAGGGAAGAGUGUUAUCACUAGACAUAGCUGAAAUCAAAGUUCAUGAAAAGCGUUUAGAUCAUUUUCAUGUUCGGGCCCCAGAGAGGAAUCUGAAAUGCUUAACAACAAUACAGCUCAGCAGAGAAAUUCUUCUCUAGCAAACACCUGAGAUAUUCCUAAAUUUCUGCUUUUCCCCAUGUUCUAGCUCCUAGUGCUAUCAGGAGGUCCCACUAUCCUUUGUAAAUACCUAUAUUAUUGCACUGCCCUGCCUUUAUUUGCCCACACGUGUGGCUCCUUUAAUCAAUCUGAGAUUGUUUGGAAGGUUUAUUCAUCUCUGCACUACCUGUAUCUUACAGAGUACCUGACACAAAGUAGGUAUUCAAAAAGAAAUUUUUGGAGGAACUUAAUUAACUAAUCAGGGACUUCCUAAAAAUAUUUGAUUCUCAUGACAAUCUCAGAGAGGUAGUUUGCUUUGGGAUUAAGCAAAACUAUUUUUGAAAAUGCUCUGUCAAUUACCAUGUGCAUGACUUUGGGGAAAAACCGUGUCCUGAAGCUUUGAUUUUUCACCUGUAAAACGGGGGUCGUAGAGGUACCCUAUGUUACAUGAACAAAUGUUGCAAGGAUUCCAGGAAAUAAUGCAUCUGUAUCUGUUAGCUUUGAAGUGUGAUGAACCAGAACUGGCACCUUAAAAACAACCGUUUAUAAUUUCUCACGAGUCUGGGUGAGUGGGUCUACGUUGACCUCACUUGCCCCUCUGACAGUUGGGCUCAAGCGCCUGGGCUCCUCCUCAGGGCAUCGCUAACCAGCCACCGUGAGCUCAUUCUCAUGGUGGCCAUGGUGUCCAGGGGAUGCAGGAGAGUAAAAAUGCAAAUGCACAGUCACUGUCCACGCCUCUGCUUGCAUCACACGUGCUAUUGUCUCAUGUGCCAAAGUGAGUCACGUGUCUAAUCCCAGACUUCAUGUGGGAGGGGACUACCCAAGGUUUAGAUAGAGGUGAGGCAAUGACUGUGCCAUUUUGUAAACAGUCUACCCCAGCAUCAAAAGUGUUUAGCACUUAAAAAAAAAAUUAAUUAAGGUUGGCAAUAAUAAUUAUAAUAUAAUAUUGUUCUUCAUGGAGAAACAUUUUCCACAAAGCUAAUUAUCCUCAUCAUCAUUGAGUAUAAUUCUUAUGAUUCUUCCUUGGAAUCCUUCUUAGACUCUGCUGUUCUAAGGCUGCCUCCUUCUCCUUCUGCUCCUCUACCACUUCUGUCACAUCCAGUUAUCACUCCCCAUCAGCAGAUGAUGAUAUUUAUAUCUCGAGAUGGAAUCUGAGUUUGAGUUCACCCCAAAAUCAGAAGGACUUGGAGGAGAGUGGUUUAUUGGGAAGGUGACACUGGGAAGCAGGAAAAAGGCAGAACGAAGUGGUGAAGGAGGAAGAGCCAACCUAAGUUCUCCCAGCAAGGAAGAAACAGAGUCUGGUCUAAGCUUCAGUUUGUCUCACAAUUUAAUCUCAACAUUGUUUCACGCAAGUCUGUCUUCAGAGAUCUUCUGAGACACCUCACAUGUUUAAGGCUACAAAUCCUAGUACCUAUUUGUUCUCUUCAAACAGGUGUCUUUGAGAAAUUGCCUCGCAUACAAAGAUCUCUGGCCACCAGAUUCAUCACACAUAC